RNAcentral lists this ribosomal RNA (429 nucleotides) under Actinomycetes bacterium. Its description in RNAcentral is "Actinobacteria bacterium partial 16S ribosomal RNA". It matches the Rfam family "Bacterial small subunit ribosomal RNA", at positions 355 to 776 of the family's 1533-position model. Lineage: Bacteria; Bacillati; Actinomycetota; Actinomycetes. The record is from RNAcentral.
UAGGGAAUCUUCCGCAAUGGGCGAAAGCCUGACGGAGCAACGCCGCGUGAGUGAUGAAGGUCUUCGGAUCGUAAAACUCUGUUAUUAGGGAAGAACAAAUGUGUAAGUAACUAUGCACGUCUUGACGGUACCUAAUCAGAAAGCCACGGCUAACUACGUGCCAGCAGCCGCGGUAAUACGUAGGUGGCAAGCGUUAUCCGGAAUUAUUGGGCGUAAAGCGCGCGUAGGCGGUUUUUUAAGUCUGAUGUGAAAGCCCACGGCUCAACCGUGGAGGGUCAUUGGAAACUGGAAAACUUGAGUGCAGAAGAGGAAAGUGGAAUUCCAUGCGUAGCGGUGAAAUGCGCAGAGAUAUGGAGGAACACCAGUGGCGAAGGCGACUUUCUGGUCUGUAACUGACGCUGAUGUGCGAAAGCGUGGGGAUCAAACAGG